CAAACUGGGGUCUCUGUUCCUUUCCACGACUGAAAGAAAAGCUGGGAUACAUGAAGACUGCCAUCCCUUGAGUCACUUGCCCUGUAGCUGCCACUGUUGGAAAAGGGCUUGCUUCUGUGUCCUUGUGCCCACUUUGAAAAUCCCUGGGAAGUCCUUGGAGUCAGAUGAGCAGGCCUCCGCCACUCUGCCAAAAAGUCUGUUCAAUCAGGAGUCCCCAACCCCUGAGCCAUGGACUGAUAUGGAGCUAUGGUCUGUUAGGAACUGGGCUGCCCAGGAGGAGGAAGUUUCACAUCACUAGAGAAGAGAGAAGAAGGACAUUUGUACUGGGAGGAGUCGACCGGUCCCAGUAAGGAGAAAGUAGCUACAGCGUCAUGGGUGAGCUGGGUCCCCCAAAAAGGAACUUUAAGGGAAUGGACUGAAUCAAGUCUGAGAUGUCCCCAAAGCAAGACCAAAGAACUGAGGAAGAGAAGCAUUCAUCAGAAACCAAAAUUCAGCUACAAGUGAGCAUCCAGAUGGAGGUAUUAUGAAGAGGAACUGAGACUGAGGGCAAAAGGUGCCAGCCAGAAUCCUGGAUAGGAGAGCAAGAACCAGGACCUCAUUUAAGAGACAACCUGCUUAAGGCAGAGUAAGGUGAGAUUGGAUUCACGCAAAGACCUGGAAUUCAAGUAGGUUAAUGAACAGACAGUGUGUGCCUAUACCACGAAUUUACAAUAAUAAUAAGGGUGCUAAUAAUCACAUGGAAUUGUAGAGUAUAAUGAAAAUAUACACACUGGAGAGAAAUUGCACGGGUUGGCAUCUCAGCUUUGUCAUUUACUAUAACAGUGACCUUGGG
This 832-nucleotide long non-coding RNA is filed under the name Homo sapiens (human). RNAcentral's name for it is "non-protein coding lnc-DRD5-10:3". Lineage: Eukaryota; Metazoa; Chordata; Mammalia; Primates; Hominidae. The record is from RNAcentral.